RNAcentral lists this ribosomal RNA (440 nucleotides) under uncultured bacterium. RNAcentral's name for it is "partial 16S ribosomal RNA". It matches the Rfam family "Bacterial small subunit ribosomal RNA", at positions 338 to 795 of the family's 1533-position model. The record is from RNAcentral.
CCUACGGGGGGCAGCAGUAGGGAAUAUUGCUCAAUGGGGGAAACCCUGAAGCAGCAACGCCGCGUGGAGGAUGAAGGUUCUCGGAUUGUAAACUCCCUUUGUUAGAGAAGAUAAUGACGGUAUGUAACGAAUAAGCACCGGCUAACUCCGUGCCAGCAGCCGCGGUAACACGGAGGGUGCAAGCGUUACUCGGAAUCACUGGGCGUAAAGAGCGCGUAGGCGGGAUAGCAAGUCAGAUGUGAAAUCCUAUGGUUUAACCAUAGAACUGCAUUUGAAACUGGUAUUCUAGAGUAUGGGAGAGGUAGGUGGAAUUCUUGGUGUAGGGGUGAAAUCCAUAGAGAUCAAGAAGAAUACUCAUUGCGAAGGCGACCUGCUAGAACAUAACUGACGCUGAUGCACGAAAGCGUGGGGAGCGAACAGGAUUAGAUACCCCAGUAGUC